ACGGAAGGCAGCAGUGGGGAAUAUUGCACAAUGGGGGAAACCCUGAUGCAGCGACGCCGCGUGAGUGAAGAAGUAUUUCGGUAUGUAAAGCUCUAUCAGCAGGAAAGAAAAUGACGGUACCUGACUAAGAAGCCCCGGCUAACUACGUGCCAGCAGCCGCGGUAAUACGUAGGGGGCAAGCGUUAUCCGGAUUUACUGGGUGUAAAGGGAGCGUAGACGGUCGUGCAAGUCUGAAGUGAAAGCCCGGGGCUCAACCCCGGAACUGCUUUGGAAACUGUAUAACUAGAGUGCAGGAGAGGUAAGCGGAAUUCCUAGUGUAGCGGUGAAAUGCGUAGAUAUUAGGAGGAACACCAGCGGCGAAGGCGGCUUACUGGACUGUAACUGACGUUGAGGCUCGAAGGCGUGGGGAGCAAACAGGAUUAGAUACCCUGGUA
Molecule: ribosomal RNA, 434 nt
Filed under: uncultured Lachnospiraceae bacterium
Lineage: Bacteria; Bacillati; Bacillota; Clostridia; Lachnospirales; Lachnospiraceae
Description: bacterial SSU rRNA
Rfam family: Bacterial small subunit ribosomal RNA
Source: RNAcentral